GAAACGGAAACUAAAACCGGAUAGGUAAUAGAGAAGCAUUUCUGUAUUAUUAAAGAAGCCUCAAAGCUUUGAACAUGGAUGGACCUGCGGUGCAUUAGCUAGUUGGUAAGGUAACGGCCUACCAAGGCGACGAUGCAUAGCCGACCUGAGAGGGCGAACGGCCACAUUGGGACUGAGACACGGCCCAAACUCCUACGGGAGGCAGCAGUAGGGAAUUUUCGUCAAUGGGGGGAACCCUGAACGAGCAAUGCCGCGUGAGUGAAGACGGUCUUCGGAUUGUAAAGCUCUGUUGUGAGAGAAAAAGGAUAUAUAUAGGAAAUGAUAUGUAUUUGAUGGUAUCUCACCAGAAAGUCACGGCUAACUACGUGCCAGCAGCCGCGGUAAUACGUAGGUGGCGAGCGUUAUCCGGAAUGAUUGGGCGUAAAGGGUACGUAGGCGGCAUGAUAAGUCUGGAGUGAAAGGCUACAGCUCAACUGUAGUAUGCUCUGGAAACUGUCAAGCUAGAGUGCAGAAGAGGGCAAUGGAACUCCAUGUGUAGCGGUAAAAUGCGUAGAUAUAUGGAAGAACACCGGUGGCGAAGGCGGUUGCCUGGUCUGAAACUGACGCUGAAGUACGAAAGCGUGGGGAGCAAAUAGGAUUAGAUACCCUAGUAGUCCACGCCGUAAAAGAUGAGAACUAGGUGUUGGGGGAAUAACUCAGUGCC
This 703-nucleotide ribosomal RNA is filed under the name uncultured bacterium. Its description in RNAcentral is "bacterial SSU rRNA". It matches the Rfam family "Bacterial small subunit ribosomal RNA", at positions 153 to 847 of the family's 1533-position model. The record is from RNAcentral.